GGGAUUGCCCCAGUAGCGGCGAGUGAAGCGGCAAGAGCUCAGAUUUGAAAUCGUGUUUCGGCACGAGUUGUAGAGUGUAGGCGGGAGUCUCUGUGGAGCGCGGUGUCCAAGUCCCUUGGAACAGGGUGCCUGAGAGGGUGAGAGCCCCGUAGGGUGCUGCGCGAAGCUUUUGAGGCCCUGCUGACGAGUCGAGUUGUUUGGGAAUGCAGCUCCAAGCGGGUGGUAAAUUCCAUCUAAGGCUAAAUAUUGGCGAGAGACCGAUAGCGAACAAGUACUGUGAAGGAAAGAUGAAAAGCACUUUGAAAAGAGAGUGAAACAGCACGUGAAAUUGUUGAAAGGGAAGGGUAUUGGGCUCGACAUGGGGGGUGCGCACCGCUGUCUCUUGUAGGCGGCGCUCUGGGCGCCCUCUGGGCCAGCAUCGGUUCCUGCUGCGGGAGAAGGGGCUCCGGAAAGUGGCUCUUCGGAGUGUUAUAGCCGGGGCCAGAUGCCGCGUGUGGGGACCGAGGACUGCGGCUUCUGUCUCGGAUGCUGGCA
Molecule: ribosomal RNA, 534 nt
Filed under: Pichia manshurica
Lineage: Eukaryota; Fungi; Ascomycota; Pichiomycetes; Pichiales; Pichiaceae
Description: partial large subunit ribosomal RNA
Rfam family: Eukaryotic large subunit ribosomal RNA
Source: RNAcentral